AAUAAAUGUUAUUAUAUCAUACCAAACCAAGUCCAGCAUUCAAAGUCUGACUUAGGGAAAAAUACUGAAGCAGGGACAGGGGCGAUGUCUUUAACAGUUAUGAUCAUGAAUGGAUCACUGGUUGUGUUUGCACAAGUAGCUAGUGACUGUUGUAUAAACUGUUGUGUGUUAUGGAACGACGGUAAGAUCAGACUACAUUAGAGCUUUGUUUGAGAAACCCAGGUAAUUUAACAACAUUUAAAGGAGUAUUUCUGCACUGGAAAUGUGGCCUUUGCAUCAACCUGGGCUGUCUUUGCAGUAGGAAGACCUUUGCUACAUGACCAGAGAAAACAGGCAAAAAGGUUGUGGUAUUCUCUUUAACUCAAAACGUAGAAAACCUGCAACAACCAGAAUGCACCACUCUGCACUGGACCAAUAAACAGUCCCACUGGGGAUGAACGAUGUAUAUUAGCCCAAUAAUGGGAAACGUGUUUUAUCUCACAGUAUCAGUGGAUAAUUGAACCGAUAAUUGGAAUUGAUCAUAUGAAAAUUGUUGAUAAGAAGAAGAACAAGCGGAACACCAAAGGAAAAAGUCUACCAGUUUAAACAAUCAACAAUCUUUGCUCACAACAUCUGAACCCUUCUCACCUUCGGGUGUUGAUAAACUAGUGUUUUUCAAACUUUUUUGAGCCAUGGCACAUUUUUUCCAUUAAAAAUAUCCCGCAGCACACCACCAACCAAAAAUGUUACAAAAUGACACACUGUAGCCUGAUACAGCAUAUAUAUAUUGACAAUUCAGUCUCUCAAUUUGUUUUUAUUUACUCAGUGUGGAAAAAUGGGCCUCUUUAUAUGAACACAAAGCUGAUAUCCUGGCAUGACCUGAAGAAAGGCACAUACGAAACUCUUCCUCAACAGCUCUCAGUCUCUCUCUGUUUUUUGUUUUUAUAGCAGUCAUGCUUUCACAUAGAAAUGAAAAUGGAAAUAAGGACCAGUGUCGAAAUAGCUCUGUUAUUAUUAACAUAUUAACAUAUAUAUUGCAAAAGACAAAACCAAUGGCAAAAAUAGACAAUAAACUGAAAAAGGUAAGAGAUAGAAUAGAAAUACAAAUAAAAUAUGAUAGGGUACAAAAUUAACAGCAGUGAUUUUUUUAUCCACAAAUACAAAUAACAAAUAUGUUUGUUUAUUAAAUGGGGAACUCCUUGGCAGCAGUUAACCGAAAACUGUCCAAAGGUAGAUCGGCAAAUCUUAGCUUUAAACCACGGCCCUCUCUCAGUUCCAGUUACUUCCUCCUGCUCCUGCAAAACCAAGUACCAAAAACUGCUGCUGAGCUGUAUGGGUCCCUAACCCAGUCAAGGCAAUCAGUGAAGGCUGAGGGCAAAUAAAAUGAAAAUUUCCCCAAGAGUUUUCAGAUGUAUACCUAAUAUCUCACCCAGUGCAGCAGUGUUGAUGACAUCUCCUUGGCAUUCCAGAUGAUACUGCCAAAGGUGCGCUUAGAAUGGAAUCCAUUUAUUCUGUCUGUGCUUGUGAGCAGGUUUUUAUUUCGGCUUUGCAUAUGUGUGCUCAGCUCAUUCAGAUGCUUAAAUAUAUCUGCCAAAUAUGACAGCCUUGCACACCACUCAUCACUUGCAAGCAGCUCCGUAUUAUCGCACCUCUCAUUAGUCAAAAUCACUCAUACACACGGGCCAGCACUUGCUGAGCAAUGCAACUCUCAGACCUCCGAAUGGAGCAAAAAGGCGCUAUGCUCCGCACCCAUUUCAUCACAUAAAGGUGCAAAUAUGUGGCUUUUCAGAGGUCUUGUCUUAAUAUCUUUACCAUGUGCAAAACAUCAUCCAACACAGGAGCUAGGUCUGCUGGUAAAGUCUUGUAAUCGAGCGCCUCACAGUGCAAAAAACAGUACAUAACAAUAACAUGUGAGUGUCUCUCUGUUACUUUUCUAAUGAAGCUUUUGGUGCGCUCGACCAUGGCUGCUGCUCUAUCAGUACAGACACUUGUGCAGUAUUCCCACUGAAGUCCUCCUUGUUCAAGAUAUUCUGGUUUCCUCUGGUUUCCACAUUGGCCAGGAGCUGAGCAUGUCCUCUACCGUCUGUAGACUGAUCAAGUUGCCAUGACAAUUCCAAAACAAUGACUUUGAUGUCAUGCUGACAUGUCAACAACACAUCUAGCAGUCUUGUUAUCUGAGAGACUGACUUUAGCUACUUCAUUAACAGGAUCAGGGCUGAGCAUCUUGUUCACAAUGGCUUUGUAGGCAGGUAGUAUAAAUGCCUCUGCCACAGUCAGUGGGUUUACACGCACAGCUUAGUCAGAUUACAGCCAUAGUUCGACUAUGCUACUCAAUUUGACUACUGCAAUUUUCCGAGUAUACAUGCCGGUGAGAAAACUGAAUUACUGGUCGAAGCAUGUACGCUACCGUUAUGCUAGGUGGCGCUGUACCCAUUUCAACUAGCUGUAAUAGAGCGACCUCUGGCUGACCUCUUUACGUCACCAGCUGACUCGGCAUUCGAGAAAGAUGCCGUAUGAAGGAGAGGCUACAUCUUUGUACAUUUUGUAUAUGGUGUACAUGAUAAUUACACAAACUAGAUGCACAAUGGUGCUCUUGCUUUCGGUUAUUUCAGAAGAAAGACACCGCCGCCAUCCUUCUACUUUUGGCUCACGGCCCUGGGAAAAAAAUCUUGAGCCUGCGCAGAGCGCAAAAAUCCAAUCCAGUUGGAUGGAGCGUAUACAUGCAGGAGUAAUGCGACUAUCAAUCGAAUAAUCCGAUUUUAGUCAGACAAAGGUGUAUACAUGCAUCUUAAAAAUCCGAUCAUAGUCGGACUAACCCAGUAAUUCGGUUUUCUUGAGUGUCAUGUAAAUGCACUGAGUGUGUGGCUUUUUUGAUUUGACUAAGCAUUCAGCCAUUAAGUACACUGUAAAACAUUUCACCCCUGUUUAGUUAUGUCCACUCACUUUUACUCUUUAACUCAAUGAGCUCUAAUAACUUUUGGAUUUUCAACUCAUUUAAAACUCAAGUUUUCAGAAAUUAAAUUUACAGUUAUUUGUUGUAUUGACUUUUGCCUGUUCCUGUUCCUGUUCUGUUUUGCCUGUGUAUGUUGAUUGAACUUGGGUUUUCAAGUUAUAGGUUGAAAAAAAAAACAUUUUAUAAUGGCGGGUGGCGGGAUGAGAGAGAGGAAAAAGGAGGGAAAAAUGUUGUCACAACUUUUGGGUUUGAGAGAAACACUCUUAUUUAUUUUGAACCAUGGACAAAUUAUAAACCACAGAUAAGUGAUAGAUUCGAAUUCCAACUAAAAAAUAGACACGUGCUAGUAAAGAAGAAAGGACUAAGUUAGCGCUCCAGGCAGAGGGAGUGUACCGCACAACGGCCGAGGAAGCUGGGAGCGGAUGAGGCGGAGGGAUCUGGCAUUAGUGAUGUGAUUGCGAGGAGAAACGUUAGUAGAAGAACACUGAAUUUCUUUUCUUUGUCGGAGAAACAGCACAAACUGGUAAGUUUAAAUUUCAUUUGGUCUUUACUGUACUAAUGUCAACUAUGUUUGUCACUUUGGUUUUAGUUUGGUCUUAAGUCUUGAGCUUUGGUCUUGAUGUUAGGCUGCCACUUCCCUACAAACUAUGAACCUGACAUUGUUCGAAUACUUGUGGCAGAUAAACUUCACCAGUACUGCCUUUGUUAAAAAGCUGAAUUAAUAAAUGUAUAACAAAUUGGUCAGUUUAAAAUGUGACUCGAAUAUUCAUUUUUUUAUUUCAUGCACGGUUAAACUAGUUUGUGUCGUGUCCCUCCUCUCCCCCUCCCCACCGAAGUUAGCUAAGUUAACGUUAGUGCUACUCUGCUUGCUCUUCAUGUGUUAACGUUAUAUUUAACCUUAACGGUAAAUUGAAUGGCAGACGUUAACGCUAUUUUGCUAGCUUGCGAUAGUGCGGAGCUUGUUUUAGGCGGGGGGGACUAAACAUUUAGAGCAGAGAGUUGGGCUCGUCUUCUUGUGUGUGUGCGUGAGGAAGAGGCUGACCUCCUCACACCGAGCAGCUCUUCUCUUCAGCGUUCAGCGGUCAACUGACCAUUGCUAAGCAUAUUUGACUGUUGUCAAGGAAAGUGGCCUUUUUCCCUCUGAUUCACGUAUUUCGUAUCACUCCAGGCACUAAAAUCUUUGCUCUAUAUGUUUUCCGGCCACUUAUCAGCCCAGUGUUUUCAGUCGCUAAGGAAUGUCAGCUGAUCUGAAGUCUACUUCAUAAUGGGAAAACACUACUCCUAUGCGACUAGUAUGGAUGAGUUUUACAUUAACUUUACUAUAUUUGGUAAAUACGGUGAUUUUGAGUCUUGGCAAAAGGCUGAGUUGUCGAUAAAGGUCAAGAAAAGAAUCACAGUCUACUCGCAGUCCAACUGCAUUAUACAGACAGAGCUUUCAAAAUGAAGAAUUUAAGAAAAUGAACGUCAGUAUUAGGUAAAGUUAUUUGAACUUAGUUAGCUAAAACAUUUGGAAUAUUGUUACUUAGAGGCUGAAACAAUCAGCUCUUCCUUUCUUGUUUCAGUAGUGUUAGCAACAAUGUAUUUAAUGUUUAGGAAAUUGAAAGGAUAAUAUCUGGCAGCAGAUAUUAUUACAAUUAAACUGUAACUUAAUCUAAAACUUUCCUGAUUUUUGCGACUAGUUUUUGGUUCAGUUUAUUUAUAUUAUAUUGAUGUGAUAUUUGCUUAUUCCAGUUCAUAGUGUAAUACAAUUAUAUUUCAUAGUCUACGGUUUCUACAAUUAAUAGCAAAAACAUGAGUUGUCACAUUGUUCAAGUGACAACACAUUGUCACAUUGUAGUUAAGCACAAUUUGAAAUUCAUUUUUGUUUUUUCUGUUUACAGACAUCAGAAAGCAUGUCCACUUCAUGAACUGGAAAUGACACAAACCAAAACAGAAGAUCAGCUGCCCUGACAUCCUUUGGAGGGGUCCUCCAACAUAAUCAGGAUGUGUGAUGCUCACGGAGAAACCCUUGACGUGAUGAUGAAGGGAAUGCAAGUUGGACUGUUGAUAGAACACGAAGGCACCCUGCAUGAUGCAUUUCCUUUGGAAAUCUUUGACGUGGCUGUGGUAGUAGAGCAGAUGGUCAUCCUGCAUGAUGUAAGAGAUGUCGUCACACUGUUCUGGCUUGGGCAUGUUAAGAUGCAUCAAUGUGCAACAUAGUUCUUGUUAUAUCAAGAUUUUUAUGAACUGGUUAUCAUUGUCUGACAUUUGCCUCAUUUUACAGUCCCACACCACCUUUGUCUGUAUACAACCUUGCCUUGUGUCUCUGUCCCUCUACAACCCCACCUCUCUGCGUCUGUCCCUCUCCAACUUCUGUCUGCCUGUCUCUCUGUCUCUCUGUCCCUGUACAAUCCGUCUGUCUGUGUGUCUGUCCCUCUAUCUGUCUCUGUGUCUGUCCCUUUGUCUAUCUGUGUCUUUCCCAUUAAAAUGUACCAAAACCAAUGUUUAAGCUUGUUCAUACUGUUAAAUAAAUGUUUGAGAUAACAUGGAAACUUGCAAUUAUUAGUCAAGAUAACUUAUGUGUGUUUGCACAACUAGGAAAUGAGUUACGAGGUAAAGU
Acanthopagrus latus (yellowfin seabream) is the source of this 5531-nucleotide long non-coding RNA. RefSeq lists it as uncharacterized. The record is from RefSeq and is a predicted model, not a curated record. The transcript has 3 exons. Lineage: Eukaryota; Metazoa; Chordata; Actinopteri; Spariformes; Sparidae.